AGAAGGAAGGAAUGCGUCUGGAGAAGUUGCCCCCGGGGCUCCAGUCUCAAGGUCCCCACCAGAUCUCCAUCGGGACCCUUUCACGACCCCGAGCCCUUUCCCCAGGAGCUCCCAGCAACCUUCGCGCUUCUCCGGAGGGUGGGGUCUGCCGCGGCGCGGGGGCAGCCUCACCCCACCUCACUGCUGGACUCCGGAGAACCAUUUCUGGGACCGGGAGCUGUCCAGCGCCUCGGGUCCUGACGGACCGCUGAUUCGCCUAGGUGCCAUCGGACAAGCGGGUGCUCAGAGCCAGCUCUGGUGGCUCGGGAGCUUUCCCCCAACCAGGCUAAGACCACUAAACCACGCCUGGCCCGGAUGAGCUUGGAUGCAGCUCCGAACGUGGGGAUCCAUCGGUGCUGAGAACUGACCUAGGGAGCACCUUGACCCCUGCCCUAUCUGGGCACAAUUGAAGGGCCAAGUGCCACCAGCCCACUUUCCUGGAACCCUGUCUCAGACUUGGGCAGGAAGAAGAGCCAUGAGAGCUCUCAUCAGAAGCAGAGGCUGGGAUUAUCUGCCUAGGGCUGAGUCCCUUCAUAUUAACAACAGACUGAAGAUGUACUGACUGCAACGAGACAAAUAGAAAUAAUAUGGUCACAUUCACCUCCAUUUCAUAAAGCAAGUGGAACCUGGGCUCACUGCGAUGAAUGAGCUUCAAUAAUUCAUCCCAGCUGCUGGUGUGCCUUCAAUGCAAUGAGAGAGAAUAACAUUAAGGAAUAGCUUUGGAAUGGGAAGAACUCUCUGAACCCUGAAGGAUGAGAAGUCUGGAAAAGAGAGUGGGAAGAGUAGACCAGAAGGAGGAAAAGCCACAUAUUUAAGGUUUUGCUUCUUGCUGCAAGCAGAUUCCUUGGCUUUACCUUCAGAGCUUUUGACUCAAUGCAGAAAUGGAAAAGCCAAUCCUUAAAUUCAAAUGGAAUUGCAGCGGACCCCAAAUAGCCAAAGCAAUCUUGAAAAAGAAGAACAAAGCUGGAAGACUUACACUUCCUGAUUUCAAAACGUAUUACAAAGCUACAGUAAUCAAAAUAGUGUGAUAGUAGCAUAAAGGAUAGAGAGAUAUAUAUCAACGAAAUAGAAUUGAGAGUCCAAAAAUAUACUAAUACAGCUAUGGGGUCAAUUGAUUUUUGACAAGGGUGCCAAGAGCAUUCAAUGGGCAAAAAAUAGUGUCUUCAACAAAUAGUGCUGGGACAACUGGAUAUCCACAUACAAAAAAGGAAGAAGAAGGAGAAGGAGGAGAAGAAGAAGAGGAAGGAAGAGGAGGAGGAGGAAGAGAAAGAAGGAGGAAGAAGAAGGAAGAAGAAGGAGAAAGAAAGAAGAACAAAGAAGAAAGUUGGACCCCUUACCUCGUACCAUAUACAAAUAUUAACUCACUAAGGAGCUUCUGGAUAGCUGAACACAUGAAGAUACUUGGAGGGAAGGUGGCAUGCCUAGAGAUGUAUGAAAGCUCUAUGCCCCUUCCCACAUGGCUUGACCUAUCCAUCUCUCCAUCUGGCUGUUCAUCUUUAAAAUACCCCUUAUGAUAAAUGGGUAAAUGCUACAUGUUCACUUGGCAUCCUAGGUCAGGCAUUUGGUCUCCACCAGAGCCCAGGAACAAGCCCAGGAGCUGUAUAUUUUAUUUUUUCAAAGUGUGAAUGAGUUAUUUGUGUAAAAAGACAUAGCUGCAAUACAAAACUCUAGGAGUCUACGUCAUGAUUCCUCUAUCAGGGAUUCCCAGAUGGUUCACCAGCAUUCCUAUCUGCAAUAGACAUUUGGAGCACUGUUGAAUCUGCUGGGUCAUAAGGCCCAAGCAGGAAAGCAGCUUAUAUCAUACCUGCAAUAGCUUCAGAAACUUUUCUUGCUCUGGUCCUGUAUUAGCUUUCUAUUGCUAUGUAACAAAUUACCACAAACUUAGUGGCCUAAAACAAAAACAAAAAACAAACAAAAAUUUUGAACUCAUUAUGUAUCAAAUACCUAAAUGUAAGAGCAAAAAGUGUAAAACCUUUAGGAGAAAACAUAAGGGUAAAUAUUCAUGACUUUGGAUUUGGCAAUGGUUUCUUUUUUUUUUUUUUUUUUUUUUGAGAGCGGUCUUGCUUUCAUCCCCCAGGCUUGAGUGCAAUGGCUCAAUCUCGGCUCACUGCAACAUCCGCCUCCCGGGUUCAAACGAUUCUCCUGCCUCUGCCUCCCAAGUAGCUGGGAGCAAAGUGCCGGCCAUCACGCCCGGCUAAUUUUUAUAUUUUUUAGUAGAGACAGGGUUCCACCAUGUUGGCCAGGCUGGUCUCGAACUCCUGACCUUAGGUGAUCUGCCCGCCUCAGCCUCCCAAAGUGCUGGGAUUACAGGCAUGAGACACCACGCUCGGCCUGGCAAUGGUUUCUUAAACAUGAUAUCAAAACCACAUGCAACAAAAAGUAAGUAUGGAUACACUGGACUUCAGCAAAAUUAAAAACUUUCAUGCAUCAGAGAACAUCUUCAAGAAAGUGAAAAGACACUUUUCAUUUCAUUUGUCAAUUUGCAAAUCACAUAUCCAAUAAACUUCUAGUAUCCAGAAUAUAUAAAGGACUCAUAAUUUGAUAACAAAAAGACAAUCCUUUUUUUCUGAGACAAGGUCUCACUCUGUCACCCAGGCUAGAGUACAGUGGAAAGAUCACAGUUCAUUGCAGCCUCAACCUUCCUGGGGCUCAAGUGAUCCUCCCACCUGAGCCUCCUGAGUAGCUGGGACUACAGGUGCCACCAUGCCAGGCUAAUUUUUUGUAUUUUUUCGUAGAGAUGGGGUUUUGCCAUGUUGCCCCAGCUGGUCUCAAACUCUUGGGCUCAAGUGAUCCACACUCUUUGGCCUCCCAAAGUGCUGGGAUUGCAGGUGUGAGCACCCUGCCUGGCCUAGAUAACUCAAUUUUUUAAAUGAGCAAAGGACUUGAAUAGACAUUUCUCUAAAGAAGACAUAUAAAUGGCCAAAAAGUACAUGAAAAGAUGCUCAACAUCAUUAGUCAUUACGGAAAUGCAAAUCAAAACUACAAUGAGAUACCACUUUAUACCCACUGUGAUGGCUAUAAUUAAGGAAAAGAACAAGUAUUGGCAAGAAUGUGGGGACACUGAAACCCUUGGGCCUUCCUGAUGGGAACAUAAAAUGGUACAGCCACUGUGGAAAACAGUUGGUGGUUCCUUAAAAUGUUAAACAUAGAAUUGCCGUAUGACCCAGCAG
This 3209-nucleotide long non-coding RNA is filed under the name Homo sapiens (human). Its description in RNAcentral is "HSALNT0329927". Lineage: Eukaryota; Metazoa; Chordata; Mammalia; Primates; Hominidae. The record is from RNAcentral.